UGCGGUGUUGCGGGAUCGGCGGCUGGGGCGGUUCUGGCAGGACCGGGAGCCGGCCGAGGUGUACGAGCCGUUCAAUCUGUUGCACCGCAA
This 90-nucleotide transfer RNA is filed under the name Paractinoplanes abujensis. RNAcentral describes it as "tRNA-Ala". Lineage: Bacteria; Bacillati; Actinomycetota; Actinomycetes; Micromonosporales; Micromonosporaceae. The record is from RNAcentral.